GGUAAACAUCACAGUUCAAAACGUGGUGUUACAAUAGGAAUAAUUGUUGGUGUAGUUGUAGCUACUCUUACAAUCUUGGUUUUAUUGGCCUAUCACCGAGUGCAGCAAAAAGAAUUUCUUGGAAGAAGUGGAUUUGUAGGCCAAACUACAGUGGAAGAUGCUAAGGUUGAAAGAUCUACAAGAUCUUCUCUUUUCAAAUUCCAAUCAAAUGUUCACCGCGCACCAACUUCGUUGAGUUUUUCAAAUGAUCACUUGCUUACUUCAAAUUCAAGGUCAUUAUCUGGGCAGACAGAGUUUCCAAAUGAAAUUGUUGAGCAUGAUUUACCUGGGGGUGUGGCGGCCAUCUCAGCGCCUUUCAAUCCUAAUGUGCUAGAGAGUUGUCCCACAACAUCUGGAAGGAAAUCCUCCCCAGGCUCUCCGUUGACUUCCUCACCCCGUUUUGUUGAGCCACGCA
This 454-nucleotide unclassified non-coding RNA is filed under the name Hevea brasiliensis (rubber tree). Lineage: Eukaryota; Viridiplantae; Streptophyta; Magnoliopsida; Malpighiales; Euphorbiaceae. The record is from RNAcentral.